Long non-coding RNA from Acanthopagrus latus (yellowfin seabream), 874 nucleotides. RefSeq lists it as uncharacterized. The transcript has 3 exons. NCBI's taxonomy places the organism in Eukaryota, Metazoa, Chordata, Actinopteri, Spariformes, Sparidae. The record is from RefSeq and is a predicted model, not a curated record.
UGGAAAGGAGGCAAAACACAAGUUACCACUAGCUUAAUUUACCGGAGCUUGACGAUAGCAGCGUUUAGCUGUCAAAAGCAAAAAGUAUCAAUAAAGUUAAGUUGAAUAUCUACCGUUAACAGCGUAGUAGGCGACCGAUGGAUCUAACAUUGAGGGGAGCUAAAUAUUAACUUAGAAUUAAUGUUAUACGAAUAAUAGGAUCGACUAAUUAAAUAAAUAAAAAUAACAAUCAAUAAUAAUAAUAACAAUAAUAAUAAUAAUAAAAAAAACUCUCCUCUUCUUCUGUGGUUAAUUGGACACCCGCGGAUAUGUGAAACGGAAAUCACAGAAGGAACCGUAGAAGAAGACAAGGCGAAGAGCCUAAAGAUAUCAUGGGGUGCUUUGGAUUGGUAGCGCUGUAUCACUCCCGAUGGGCAGAUAGGACCAUGUUCGACAGCCUUGGAGCCAUCGAUGCCUGAGUGGAAACGUCUGACGCACAAAAGACAAGCCGUCUGCCUGAAGAGCUCCAUGGAGAGGUGGAGUGAAGUGAGGAUAAAGUACGACAGCUAUCACUAUGAAGGAGACUACCUCAACGAAAAGGUUACUCAUAUGACACAAAAUAAAGUGCUAUUCUCGUAAUUACAGGAAGAUACGCUUAUUUCUCACAGUCUCUAAAGGCUUUCACAUAUAUUGAAAUGUCGAGUAAAGAAGGAUCAGAAAAAGCUAGAUCUCUGGGCUCUGAAAGAAGUCGUGAGCUGACAACAAUCUGCGAUGCAUUCUGUGCUUCAAUCCUACAUUUGUGUCCUCUCACCGGAACAAGACGUCUUUUCUAAGAAAUGCUUCAAAUAUGUUUAAUAAGUAAUGGAUGAAUCGAUUACCUACAAGAAAAAAAAAA